ACUGCCCCUUUUUUUGCCUGCGAAUGGCGGCGAUUUGAAGUUGGGGCUUUUCGUUUCCUCCAAAACAUUGAUAUCUGGAAAGGGAGCCCCUUAACACUUUUGGAGGGAACUGGCUGCAGCAUUUGGCGGGGAGAGAUAAACUGGUUUCCCACCUCUGCUUACUCCCACCUUCUCCCCUUAAUCUUCUCUUCCUCUGUGCGAGACUUUUUUCCUUUUUUAUUGUAGACACAGGGUCUUUGUUCUGCUGCCCAGGUUGGAGUGCAGUGGCGUGAUCAUAGCUCACUGCAGCCUCAACCCCCCGGGCCCAAGCGAUCCUUCCACCUCAGCCUCCCGAGUAGCUGGGCCUAGAGGUGCACACCACCAUGCCUGGCUAAUUUUUAAUUUUUUUUGUAGAGAUGGAGCCUUUCUAUGUUGCCAAGCCUAGCCUCGAACUCCUGGCCUCCCAAAAUGUGGGGAAUACAGGCGUGAGCCACUGCACCCCGGGUCAUUCCUCUUUUACUUCCUUGCUGUACCCCAACUAUCCUUCCCCCUCGGUGCCCUUAAAACCUUUGCAUUGGGUAAGUACAUUUUUUAAAGAGACUCUAGAAUUGGGCGCCAGUCUCCAAUUAAAAUUGUGAAGCUUUAUGGUCUGCGUAUCAAAAGGAACCUCAGUUCCUUAAAAAUCCUGUCAUUUUGCCUUUAGGACUUAACGGUAAUAGAAUGGCAUUCCUCACUGCCUCCGAACCACUCAAGCUGCUGCCCAUGCACUCUCUUCUGCAUGGCUCCUGGACUAAGCAGCCUCCCUUUGAUUAAGCAGGUAAAAACCAAAUAAAGUUGUCAGACUAUAUGCCCUGCCCAGUGUGCAGUCUAGACCCAGCCUUUGUCUGCCAAGAGCCUGGAAAUGUUGACCUCCGUUAUUAAGCCUGGUCAGUCUAAGACUAAUUCUUAUUACCGAAGUACCAUUAGGUAAAUGUGCUAGCUAUAGAUUUAAGUGACAUAAAAGAUCUUAAAGAAUUCUCCAAGGGAUCUGUGGGGGGUUUAUGUAUUUAUUCAUUAAAAGAUCUGUAAACAACAUUUUAUACAAAUCUUGAUUCUUUUACAAAAAUAUCCAGAAUUCCUAACACUUUACAGAAAACACAACAGACCUAAGGAAAUGAAGCAGCUUCAGGCUGCGAGGAUGAAGACACCAUUGCUGAAGCAAAGGUCUCCUCCUAGAGGGAUAGCCAGGAUCCAUCACAGUAAACCCUUUUACCCCCAUUUUAUAAACAUCCAAUUAUUAACUGUUCCUGCUGGGUUGGAGUGUAAGAAGAGACCAAAUGGAGAGAUGUCUAGUAGAAGCCCCACUGGGGGUAACCUGCUUAACAUUAAAAAAAAGACAGGCUCAGUUCUAUUCCCUGGACCCACAUCUGUAGGAAUUAUAUUAUACAGCACCAGUCUUAAAUGGUGUUCUGCUUCAGAUUCAUGCAUACCUGAAUGGGUUGUAAUGACAAUACUGUACAAGUCAAUAAACUGUAUCACAAUACAACUUACACAGUUUUGUAAGGUUGAAUAAAUACUUUCUGUGCCAGUUAAAACCAUCAGCAGAAACUGAAGAAAACAAACUGACAUUUGCUAUAACAUUAAUCAAUGAAAAGUGCACCAUCUGAACUUGAAUUUGCCCAUGAGUUUGAAAACACACACACACACACACACACACACACACAGGCCGGGUGCAGUGACUCAUGCCUGUAAUCCCAGCACUUUGGGAGGCCAAGGUGGGUGGAUCACCUGAGGUCAGGAGUUCGAGACCAGCCUGGCCAACAUGGUGAAACCCCCGUCUCCACUAAAAGUACAAAAUUAGCCAGGUGUGGUGGCGGGUGCCUAUAAUUCCAGCUACUCAGGAGGCUGAGGCAGGAGAAUUGCUUGAAGCCGGGAGGCGGAGGUUGCAGUGAGCCGAGAUCACACCAUUGCACUCCAGCCUGGGCAAAAAGAGCGAAACUCCAUCUCAAAAAAAAAAAAAAAAAACCGAAACAAAACACACACACACACACAUACACACACAAAAAAAACACUGCACCAUCACUGAAAACUUUCUCUUUCCAAUCACUACUACUACUACUUUAGAUAUUAAAGGUCUGGAUGACUAAGUGGUAUAUGUUCAAGGAAUGUUCAUAUUUUGAGUCUAAUUUAAUUAGAGCAAAAAUUUCAACAUUUCUAGGGGAAUAAAAAGAGUCUCAUCUAGGCACCUAUAAAGUUCCUUAUCCUCAGAGCUGAAAAGUGGCUCUGGUACACUUAAUAGAAAAUUUUUAUUAAUAAAAGAAAUAGCUAUAUAAUCCUACUGAGAUGAAAUUUCCAUCUGUAGGACUAACCAACUUUUUCUGUGUCCAUAAAAGUCUUGGCUUCAGUUCUGUGUUGUACAACUUUGGGCAACGUAUUUAACUUCUUUGAAUUUGUUUUUUUCUUUUUUCUUUUCCUUUUUUCUUUUUUUUGAGAUGGAGUCUCGCUCUGUCACCCUGGCUGGAAUGCAGUGGCGCGAUCUCGGCUCACUGCAACCUCUGCCUCCUGGGCUCAAGCGAUUCUCAUGGCUCAGCCUCCCGAGCAGCCAGGAUUACAGGCACCUGCCACCACACCCAGCUAAUUUUUUGUGUGUAUUUUUAGUAGAGACAGAGUUUCACCAUGUUGCCAGGCUGGUCUCGAACUCCUGACCUCAAAUGAUCCACUCGCCUUGGACUCCCAUAGUGCUGGGAUUACAGACGUGAGCCAUAGCACCCAGCCUCAGUUUAUUAGUAAAAUGGAGAUGCAAAUAUCUAUCUCAUAAGGUUGAUUUAAGGAUUGGUUGAGAUGAUAUGCAUACAUAUACCACAGUGCAUGGCACAUGGUGGACACUAAAAAAUAAAGGUGGCUCCCAUGCCCUUGAAAGGACAUUUUCAUAUUAGCUAUAAUUUCACAAAGUUUAAAUUUAUUUACUUAUUUUUAAAAUGUUUUUGUAGAGAUGGGAUCUUGCUAUGUUGCCCAGGCUAGUCUCAAACUCCCACCCUCAAACUCCUGCCUUAGCCUCCCAAAGUGGUGGAGAUUACAGGUGUGAGCCACUGCAUCCAGCCUCCACAAAGUUUAAUGUUGACAUGUGAGGCACAAGCAAACUACUCAAAUGCCACAUAAUUUGGAGGAGGAGUUGCAAGAUGUCUAAUUUUAUAAGGUACUUAAUAACAGUACCUUAUAAUAUUACAAGUAGGGCUUCCUCCUAAGUGAGAUUCCCCUAGAUAUAAUAUAAGGCAAAACAAUGGAGAUAUGUGAUGAGUCUAUUCCUUAGCCCAGGUCAAACAGCCCAUGGGUUUAAAGGGGCCAUGAUAGUUCAGUGAUGAGAAUUAUGUGUAUAAGGCUAGUGUUCUCCAUUUCCAUCAUGUCUCUCUACUACCUUAAACUCAGCAUUUCUCUCAUUAUUCUCAUCUUUGAGCUAUUUUUUAAAUGUAACAACAACAAGGCUUUUCCUUGUGAAACACAACUACUUUCACAGACAAAGCACAAAACAGAGAAUGAGCCCAAGAAUCACAUAGAAAAGGCUGCUAUAAAAAAAAAAUGGAGACAGAGUAAAGAUGGCAUGGUGCCAGACCAUUCCCAACAAUUCUCCAGUGAUUACUACAGCAGCAACAGGAGAAUCCUCCUCUAACAGCCUGACUCGCUCUUUAACCUUUUAAAAUUUCAAGAAUUUUGUAGAAUACUUCAUGGGAUCCUGACCCUUAGAAAAAUAUUUUCUUUGGCACUUUCUGUUGUAUAUUCAGGAUGGAGACAAUCAGAGAUUUCAUUUCUUUUGCAGAAAUUUCAUUUUGCUUCCUAAAGGGAAAGAAAAGUACAGUGAAUGCUCAAUUCAUUUUUAUUUAUUGUACAUUAUUUGAGGUAAGGGAUUAACAGGUCAGUCAUUCAGAACAGCCCAAGAGUUAAGCUGACAUCUCAAACUCAGUUGAUG
This 3922-nucleotide long non-coding RNA is filed under the name Homo sapiens (human). RNAcentral's name for it is "HSALNT0294794". Lineage: Eukaryota; Metazoa; Chordata; Mammalia; Primates; Hominidae. The record is from RNAcentral.